Ictalurus punctatus (channel catfish) is the source of this 728-nucleotide long non-coding RNA. Lineage: Eukaryota; Metazoa; Chordata; Actinopteri; Siluriformes; Ictaluridae. The record is from Ensembl.
AUUUAAUGAUUUAAAUAUAAACUAUUUAUAAUGAUUCACUAUCUGUUGUUAUGUUUGAUAAAAAUAUUAAAAUUGUAGUUGAACAUCUUUGUACUGAAAGCACAGAGUGAAGAUUGUUUAGCAGCGAUUCUGACUGUAAAUCAUAAGUUUUUCUCUCUGUAUUUUAUCUAACAUUACAUUUCUGUCUGUUGUUUUACACGACACCUUCAGUACUGGAGAAGAUUGCAGCACCGGUAAGUAAAUAACUCGAUUUCACACUAACGGUAGCGGCUGAUGUUUUAUAAACUUAUCACAUAUAUUACAUUUGAAUCCAGGGAUGAAAUGAAGAUAAAAAGCAUUUUCAGAUCAUGUUUACGUGAAGGACUCUGAUCAGUCAGUGAGAUUCCACUUCCAUCAGCCAGCUUCUUUCCCACAAUGCUCCUGUGCGUAAUCCCACUGCACUGCAAUAACGUAGGAGAGACGUUUACCAUGUCGAGUAAAAGACACAACAAUCAUGUAACAUAUAACACACACCACUGCCAGACUCCAUCAGAAUCCUAUUCAAAAUCAUACACCAGUAAAAUCACCAAAUUUCCCAGGAUUCCUCUGGAUUAAACAGGGGUCUUUUGUGCGAAUAUCCAAGGUCCAUUUCACCUUUUUGGAAUAUUUUCAUAAGGUGUGACUCCUAAUUGUGUUCUUCCUGAAAUGAACAGUAACAGAACAUUUCCUGACGCUUCACCAUAAACAUA